Molecule: RNase P RNA, 374 nt
Filed under: Paracoccaceae bacterium
Lineage: Bacteria; Pseudomonadati; Pseudomonadota; Alphaproteobacteria; Rhodobacterales; Paracoccaceae
Also listed under: 1 other name
Description: RNase P RNA component class A
Rfam family: Bacterial RNase P class A
About the family: Ribonuclease P (RNase P) is a ubiquitous endoribonuclease, found in archaea, bacteria and eukarya as well as chloroplasts and mitochondria. Its best characterised activity is the generation of mature 5'-ends of tRNAs by cleaving the 5'-leader elements of precursor-tRNAs.
Source: RNAcentral
GCGGAUGGCCGGGCGGCCGCGGAUGGCAACGUUCGAGGAAAGUCCGGACUCCACAAGGCAACGGUGCCGGGUAACGCCCGGCCGGGGCAACCCGAGGGAAAGCGCCACAGAGAACAGUCCGCUCCGAUCCUUUCGGAGCAAGGGUGAAACGGUGGGGUAAGAGCCCACCGCGGGGGUGGCAACAUCCCCGGCACGGCAAGCCCCACCGGGAGCAAUGCCAAAUAGGGACCGCGCGGGGCCUCGGCCCCGGGGCCGCCUUGGCCCCAGCAGGUCCGGGUUGGCAGCUCGAGGCGUCCGGUAACGGGCGUCCCAGAGGAAUGGUCGCCGGCGGGCUGGGCCCGUCACAGAAUCCGGCUUACAGGCCAUCCGCGCGU